Molecule: long non-coding RNA, 423 nt
Filed under: Trifolium pratense (red clover)
Lineage: Eukaryota; Viridiplantae; Streptophyta; Magnoliopsida; Fabales; Fabaceae
Description: long non-coding RNA (TPRA_LNC004848)
Source: RNAcentral
GGUUCUGCACUCAUAUACAUGUGUAUGGCGCGCGUUAUUUUGACACCAUAUUUGUACACGGUAAUUUCAUUUUGAACACCAAAAAAAUGUAGAAAUAUUAUAUACAUAUUUCUUUAGAUUAGAAGAACAACUUAAUUUGCUAUAUAUAAUCUAUUACUUUUGCAAAGGAAUCUAGUACAUCCAUAAUUGAAGAAACAAAUUGACAAGUACAAAACAUAUACAUAAAUUAAAAAAAGAAAGAGUUUCCUCAUAAUAUUGAUACUUAAUAAUUAACUUCACUUUCUUAUUCCCCAAUAAUUCAAAAUUAAGAUAAAAUAAAAAGCUAAUCCUCAUGAUCAAAUUUGCUUAACAACUUGAUGUAUCUGUUGAGGCAUAAUCUCAAGAUUAAGUCUUGAACAUGAUCUAGCCAUUUCACCAGCUAAU